AGCUUUCACCAACCAGCUUCUCAUCUCCGCAAAGGGCUGGCGAGCCAUCGUGCGCUCCAGUUCUUGAAAACAUAGAUGAACUGAAGUCAAAGUGAAGAGCGAGAAGC
Molecule: small nucleolar RNA, 107 nt
Filed under: Leishmania donovani
Lineage: Eukaryota; Euglenozoa; Kinetoplastea; Trypanosomatida; Trypanosomatidae
Description: H/ACA box snoRNA LD30Cs1'H2A
Source: RNAcentral